GACGAACGCUGGCGGCGUGCCUAACACAUGCAAGUCAACUUGACGGAAGGAGCAAUCUGACCGUAGAGUGGCGCAAGGGUGCGUAACGCGUAAGUAACUUGCCCCAAGGUAAGGAAUAACGUCGAGAAAUCGGCGCUAAUACCUCAUAAUGCAGCGGAUCCGCAUGGAUAUGUUGUUAAAGGUUUACCGCCUUGGGAUAGGCUUGCGUCUGAUUAGCUAGUUGGUGUGGUAACGGCACACCAAGGCUACGAUCAGUAACUGGUCUGAGAGGAUGAUCAGUCACACUGGAACUGAGACACGGUCCAGACUCCUACGGGAGGCAGCAGUGAGGAAUAUUGGGCAAUGCUCGAAAGAGUGACCCAGCAACGCCGCGUGGAGGAUGAAGGUAUUCUAUAUCGGUAAACUCCUGUGAGAGCAGACGAAAGACAGAUUAUAAUCUGGAUGACUGUAUGCUCAGAGGAA
This 462-nucleotide ribosomal RNA is filed under the name uncultured bacterium. RNAcentral's name for it is "bacterial SSU rRNA". It matches the Rfam family "Bacterial small subunit ribosomal RNA", at positions 28 to 489 of the family's 1533-position model. The record is from RNAcentral.